CCUACGGGAGACUGCAGUCGAGAAUCAUUCACAAUGGGGGAAACCCUGAUGGUGCGACGCCGCGUGGGGGAAUGAAGGUCUUCGGAUUGUAAACCCCUGUCAUGUGGGAGCAAAUUAAAAAGAUAGGACCACAAGAGGAAGAGACGGCUAACUCUGUGCCAGCAGCCGCGGUAAUACAGAGGUCUCAAGCGUUGUUCGGAACCACUGGGCGUAAAGCGUGCGUAGGCUGUUUCGUAAGUCGUGUGUGAAAGGCGCGGGCUCAACCCGCGGACGGCACAUGAUACUGCGAGACUAGAGUGAUGGAGGGGGAAGCGGAAUUCUCGGUGUAGCAGUGAAAUGCGUAGAUAUCGAGAGGAACACUCGUGGCGAAGGCGGGUUCCUGGACAUUAACUGACGCUGAGGCACGAAGGCCAGGGGAGCGAAAGGGAUUAGAUACCCGAGUAGUC
This 446-nucleotide ribosomal RNA is filed under the name uncultured bacterium. Its description in RNAcentral is "partial 16S ribosomal RNA". It matches the Rfam family "Bacterial small subunit ribosomal RNA", at positions 338 to 795 of the family's 1533-position model. The record is from RNAcentral.